CUACGGGGGGCAGCAGUGGGGAAUAUUGGACAAUGGGGGCAACCCUGAUCCAGCCAUGCCGCGUGUGUGAAGAAGGCCUUUUGGUUGUAAAGCACUUUAAGCAGGGAGGAGAGGCUAAUGGUUAAUACCCAUUAGAUUAGACGUUACCUGCAGAAUAAGCACCGGCUAACUCUGUGCCAGCAGCCGCGGUAAUACAGAGGGUGCGAGCGUUAAUCGGAAUUACUGGGCGUAAAGCGGGUGUAGGUGGCUCAUUAAGUCACAUGUGAAAUCCCCGGGCUUAACCUGGGAACUGCAUGUGAUACUGGUGGUGCUAGAAUAUGUGAGAGGGAAGUAGAAUUCCAGGUGUAGCGGUGAAAUGCGUAGAGAUCUGGAGGAAUACCGAUGGCGAAGGCAGCUUCCUGGCAUAAUAUUGACACUGAGAUUCGAAAGCGUGGGUAGCAAACAGGAUUAGAUACCCGUGUAGUC
Molecule: ribosomal RNA, 465 nt
Filed under: uncultured bacterium
Lineage: Bacteria
Description: partial 16S ribosomal RNA
Rfam family: Bacterial small subunit ribosomal RNA
Source: RNAcentral